Molecule: long non-coding RNA, 614 nt
Organism: Ananas comosus (pineapple)
Lineage: Eukaryota; Viridiplantae; Streptophyta; Magnoliopsida; Poales; Bromeliaceae
Exons: 2
Source: RefSeq, a predicted model, not a curated record
GUGGUCUGGCCCGGCCCCAGGAGGAGGACGGAGGUGGUAAAGGGCUUCGUGUAGGAGGCAUCAACACCGACGACCGUCAUCUUGUGGUUGGCAAUCGCAACGAACAUCUCGGUGUUUAGGGCCGCGUUGAUGAACCGCAGGAGUUGGGAUGAUGGAAGUGGAGAUGAGAACCUUCGCUGGAGCAGUUGAAGAAAUCGCCGGGCUGUCCAUUGAUAGUGAGGGCAUCGGAGAUGUUCGGAGCCGCUCCGGUUCGUGUCGCCGCUCGCACGACCUUGAUCGGAUUGGCAUUCCACCACUCUCCUGCUCAUAGCCACCAUUGUCGUCAUCGCCACUCUCCGAUUUUGUAAAUAGUAGCAAUAAUUUUCUUUGUGGUUUGAUAAAAGUAACAGCAGUAACCCUUGAAUUUACAAAUCAAUCUUAAAUAUUGCUGCAGCUGUUAGCGCAACUUUUGUUUCCAGUGCUUUUACUUAUUUUGGUAUAGCUUUCCAUAGAAGUGUAAUAAUGGGAAGUAAUUUAUUAAUCUGCUCUGUGACUUUUAAAAGCUUGUAUUAAAAAAGAAAGUGUAAUUUGUGGACACUUCAACUACUUAAUUUGUAGAUAAUACAUUUUCGUAA